AUGUCAGAUGCAAAGCCCCACACCUCAUUAAGAUCAUAUUGGCAUACUCUCCUAAAAGAAGAGCACACCCCAUUGAAGACGGGAGUGAGGUACAACAAGGCCAUUUCCGUCCACCUUCUCACGGAGCCGUACGUGGACGUUACCGCUCAUACAGCUCCCAGCCAGCAAGCAGUUAGCUUUCCUCUAGAAGUCAUGGAAGUGUGGAUAAAUUGA
Molecule: ribosomal RNA, 213 nt
Filed under: Triticum aestivum (bread wheat)
Lineage: Eukaryota; Viridiplantae; Streptophyta; Magnoliopsida; Poales; Poaceae
Description: partial small subunit ribosomal RNA
Source: RNAcentral